UCUCCUGUAGCUCAACCGGCAGAGCGCCGGAUUGUUAAUCCGGAUGUUACUGGUUCAAGUCCAGUCAGGAGAGC
Molecule: transfer RNA, 74 nt
Filed under: Streptomyces phage Frankenweenie
Lineage: Duplodnaviria; Heunggongvirae; Uroviricota; Caudoviricetes
Also listed under: 1 other name
Description: tRNA-Asn
Rfam family: tRNA
About the family: Transfer RNA (tRNA) molecules are approximately 80 nucleotides in length. Their secondary structure includes four short double-helical elements and three loops (D, anti-codon, and T loops).
Source: RNAcentral